UGCACUGGGUAUUCCAUCUAAAAAUAAAUAAGGACUGGUUCUCUCUGCUUCUCUUCAGCAUCUUUAUGUGGAGUGCAAAUGAAGUCAUGACUGUUGUGCCAACAGGUGCUUUUGGUGGCUGUGAUUUCAUCGGCAGUCCCACAGCCUGGGACCGUGGCAGAAAACCAAUCUUUCUUCCUGUAUUGCUUGAAGCUGAUGUAGAUUCAACCUUGAUCAUCAACACCUGUCUUAAAUUGCAGGAAUCUCUUUGUGGAGGAGGAGGAAACAGGUUUUAUCACUGGUUUAUUGCCUUAGCUUCCCGAACUUGGGAGUGAGCUGUUUCACAGCUGUUGGCUUCUGGCAAUGGGAAACAUGCACAAAUCCAUGGCUCAAAAAAAAUCUGUUGAUCAAAAAAAAAAAAAAAGCAUGUUGAUAUGGGCUUCACCGUCCCUUGCUUUAGGGGUGAAGAUCACAUGAAGAACUGAGGCAAUUCUGCUUUUUUGUGUGCUUAGCCUCUGCACAUGUUUGAGGCUGAGUGAGCGAAUGGCAGACCCGUACAGCUCUGAUUGAUCACUGUAUCAAACCAUUGAACCUCAGGGGUGGAUACAGGUGCAUAACAGGAGACUGGAAAACCACGGACAGACCUGAGCCCAGCACAGGAAGAGAAAAGACAGAUGCAGAGGAUUGGCAAGAGGUCACGUUUUCCAGGCUUGUAAUGGAAAGCUGGAAGAAACAGAAAAGAAGUCGGAUAUUGGGAAACGUGUGAUGAGGGGACAAGCUCAGCUUGGUUCCUGAAAUAUAAAUCUUCUGGGCCAUGGGAUAUUCAGCGUUACAGCCUCAGCUGAUCCUUCUGUGCAGUCAUCAGUCAGACCAUGCAGCACAGUGAUAGAGUGAGCCUGAAUAAUACUCUUGCACAAUGUCUGCCAUGCUCCGUAAUGUCCUCAAAGGAAUUGUGCUUACAAUCUGAACUUGUUUAUAUUCUUUCCGUUGCCCAGGAAAAUGGAUAAUUCCUUUUCCCAUCG
RNAcentral lists this long non-coding RNA (1001 nucleotides) under Gallus gallus (chicken). RNAcentral describes it as "lncRNA (ENSGALG00010026711.1)". Lineage: Eukaryota; Metazoa; Chordata; Aves; Galliformes; Phasianidae. The record is from RNAcentral.